Myodes glareolus (Bank vole) is the source of this 932-nucleotide non-coding RNA. The record is from RefSeq and is a predicted model, not a curated record. NCBI's taxonomy places the organism in Eukaryota, Metazoa, Chordata, Mammalia, Rodentia, Cricetidae.
GCCCCGCGAGCUGGCCGGGCGGAAAGCCAGGUCGGUUCUUGGUCUUUGUUGACCUUUUCCUACUGGCUUCAAAAUAACCUUGGCGCACUUUCUUCUCGGCCCUAGACUCCUCCCGGCGCCCUUCAAUUCGAUUUCUGCUGCUGCUCCCGGAGUUGGCCAAGGCUACGAGAGAAAUUCAACCUUCCUCUCCUUUUUCCCAACAACCGGGUUCUAGCAUACUUGACUCAUUCAUUAUUUAGGAAACUGAGAAAAUGGGUGGCUGACUUGGUCCUCUACAGAGGGGGAAGAGAAAUUUUUUUUGAUAAAUUUAGCGAUACUGUGGAAGAUUCUGGAAAGGGGAAAAUAGUCUGAAUUUGUAAUGACUCCGAAGCAAACAAUUUUAUUUUCUUUAUGAAGUUUGAUUCUCUUUUAGACAUGUAAGUUAUCAGGAGCUGACAGGCAGUUUAACACCAAAAGGAAAUCCUCAUGGGGCCACCCAAACGCCACACCCAUUCCUGAGAACUGGAUGUUCUGCCCAAAGAACAGGUUGGCCACACACUUACAGCAGUCCUCCUGUCUGUCUACCGGGUGGAAUUAGAGGCAAGCAUCACUACACCUAGCGUGGUGCUUGAUUUGUAAAGUUAUGUGUGUGCAUAAAUUUAUGUGUUUCGUCGGCACUGAGAAGUCCACAGAAGUCAGAAGAGGAUGUGGGUGCUGGGAACUGUACCAGGGUCUUGUGCAAGCUCACGUAGUUACGAGGACCAGGCAGAAUAUAUGAGCAAGAAGACACCUGCGAGUUUUGUAAGACAGAUUUUAAUUUCCUGGUCAGGCGAUGGCAUUGAAUACAGCUAAGAUCCCAAGAUCAGAUGUGGUGAAAUCUACGGAUCUUGUUGAGCCACUCUUCAGCACAUGAAGGGAAUGACCUUCUCCUUCUUUAGGAAGGAGGCUUCCAA